AGUCGAGGGAGAAUUGCUUUCGGGCAGCAGGAACCGGCGAACGGGUGCGUAACACGUAUGCAACCUACCUAUAACUGGGGGAUAGCCCGAAGAAAUUCGGAUUAAUACCCUAUAAUAUUUACUACUCGCAUGAGUUGGUAUCUUAAAACUCCGGUGGUUAUAGAUGGGCAUGCGGCCUAUUAGUUUGUUGGUGAGGUAACGGCUCACCAAGACUACAAUAGGUAGGGGUUCUGAAAGGAUGAUCCCCCACACUGGUACUGAGACACGGACCAAACUCCUACGGGAGGCAGCAGUAGGGAAUAUUGGUCAUUGGACGCAAGUCUGAACCAGCCUUGCCGCGUGCAAGAAAAAGGCCCUAUGGGGUUGUAAACUGCUUUU
RNAcentral lists this ribosomal RNA (378 nucleotides) under uncultured Bacteroidota bacterium. RNAcentral describes it as "bacterial SSU rRNA". It matches the Rfam family "Bacterial small subunit ribosomal RNA", at positions 60 to 437 of the family's 1533-position model. Lineage: Bacteria; Pseudomonadati; Bacteroidota. The record is from RNAcentral.